CCUACGGGAGGCAGCAGUAGGGAAUAUUGCUCAAUGGGGGCAACCCUGAAGCAGCAACGCCGCGUGAAGGAUGAAGGUUUUCCGAUUGUAAACUCCUUUUGUUAGAGAAGUUAAUUACGGUAUCUAACCCUUCAUCCCCGGCCAACGCCGUUCCAGAAGCCGCGGUACCACGGAGGGUGCCAGCGUUACUCGGAAUCACUGGGCGUAAAGCGCGCGUAGACGGGAUAGCAAGUCAGAUGUGAAAUCCUAUGGCUUAACCAUAAAAUUGCAAUUGAAACUGUUAGUCUUGAGUAUAGGAGAGGUAGGUGGAAUUCGUGGUGUAGCGGUAAAAUGCGUAGAGAUCAAGAAGAACACUGAUUGCGAAGGCGACCUGCUAGAACGUAACUGACACUGAUGCGCGAAAGCGUGGGGAGCAAACAGGAUUAGAUACCCGUGUAGUC
Molecule: ribosomal RNA, 440 nt
Filed under: uncultured bacterium
Lineage: Bacteria
Description: partial 16S ribosomal RNA
Rfam family: Bacterial small subunit ribosomal RNA
Source: RNAcentral